AGUUUGAUCCUGGCUCAGGAUGAACGCUAGCUACAGGCUUAACACAUGCAAGUCGAGGGGCAGCAUUUUAGUUUGCUUGCAAACUGAAGAUGGCGACCGGCGCACGGGUGAGUAACACGUAUCCAACCUGCCGAUAACUCCGGGAUAGCCUUUCGAAAGAAAGAUUAAUACCGGAUAGUAUACGAAUAUCGCAUGAUAUUUUUAUUAAAGAAUUUCGGUUAUCGAUGGGGAUGCGUUCCAUUAGUUUGUUGGCGGGGUAACGGCCCACCAAGACUACGAUGGAUAGGGGUUCUGAGAGGAAGGUCCCCCACAUUGGAACUGAGACACGGUCCAAACUCCUACGGGAGGCAGCAGUGAGGAAUAUUGGUCAAUGGGCGCGAGCCUGAACCAGCCAAGUAGCGUGAAGGAUGAAGGCUCUAUGGGUCGUAAACUUCUUUUAUUAUGGGAAUAAAGUUUUCCACGUGUGGAAUUUUGUAUGUACCAUAUGAAUAAGGAUCGGCUAACUCCGUGCCAGCAGCCGCGGUAAUACGGAGGAUCCGAGCGUUAUCCGGAUUUAUUGGGUUUAAAGGGAGCGUAGGUGGAUUGUUAAGUCAGUUGUGAAAGUUUGCGGCUCAACCGUAAAAUUGCAGUUGAAGCUGGCAGUCUUGAGUACAGUAGAGGUGGGCGGAAUUCGUGGUGUAGCGGUGAAAUGCUUAGAUAUCACGAAGAACUCCGAUUGCGAAGGCAGCUCACUAGACUGUCACUGACACUGAUGCUCGAAAGUGUGGGUAUCAAACAGGAUUAGAUACCCUGGUAGUCCACACAGUAAACGAUGAAUACUCGCUGUUUGCGAUAUACAGUAAGCGGCCAAGCGAAAGCAUUAAGUAUUCCACCUGGGGAGUACGCCGGCAACGGUGAAACUCAAAGGAAUUGACGGGGGCCCGCACAAGCGGAGGAACAUGUGGUUUAAUUCGAUGAUACGCGAGGAACCUUACCCGGGCUUAAAUUGCAACAGAAUAUAUUGGAAACAGUAUAGCCGUAAGGCUGUUGUGAAGGUGCUGCAUGGUUGUCGUCAGCUCGUGCCGUGAGGUGUCGGCUUAAGUGCCAUAACGAGCGCAACCCUUAUCUUUAGUUACUAACAGGUGAUGCUGAGGACUCUAGAGAGACUGCCGUCGUAAGAUGUGAGGAAGGUGG
RNAcentral lists this ribosomal RNA (1173 nucleotides) under uncultured Bacteroides sp. RNAcentral's name for it is "bacterial SSU rRNA". It matches the Rfam family "Bacterial small subunit ribosomal RNA", at positions 10 to 1176 of the family's 1533-position model. Lineage: Bacteria; Pseudomonadati; Bacteroidota; Bacteroidia; Bacteroidales; Bacteroidaceae. The record is from RNAcentral.